UGACCCGGAUGGAAAUUUCUGGCUUCUGGUUUCAGCCUGGCCCAGCCCUGACUCCCUGGCUCCCUCUCCCUCACGCUCUGCCUUUCAAAUAAAUAAACAAAUCACUUUAGAAAAAGUUACCUGAGCUUCAUGAUGUGAUAUGAUACACUAAAAAAUACACAAAAUUACUUAGGUUGUAUAGCUAUCAGAAUGCAUAGCCACAGCCAGUGGUGUGGUGUGGUGGGAUAAGCUGCCACCCAGCACCCCUUAGCAGACCGCUGGUUGGAGUCCCAGCUGCUCCAUUUCCGAUACAGCUUCCUGGAAAUGUGACUAAAAAGGCAGCAGAAGGUGCCACAAGUACUGGGCCCUGCCACUCACAUGAGGCCCAGAUGGAGCUCCUGGCUCCUGGCUUUGGCCUGGCCCAGCCCUGGCUGUGGUGACCUUUGGGGAGUGAACUAGUAGAUGGAAGAUCCAUUCUCUCUCUCUCUCUCGCUCGCUCUCCAUUUCAAAUAGCUUAAUCUUGAAAGAGCUGCGUGUCCCUGUUCCCAAAGCCAAAUGCAUGGGGUCAGCCACCUGCUGUCGUUAACUGGGGCUGGAAUUUAAAAAUCCAGCAUCACUUUACGGCUUCUGCCAACUUUGUUGGGAAAGCGGCUUAGCAGCUGACAGCUACGCUUUCCCCACCUGUAAAAUGGACACAAUGCUACUGCUCACGUCAUGAAGCCCAUGAGGAUACUGGUGCCCCAGCCCCCAUGCAGCACUCACUGAGCACAUGGAAAACACCCCUGGGGCCCCCAGUCCCGAUCUCGUGUUUGUUCUCUUCUGUUCUCUCGUGUCCCUUUCUCAUCCUGGCUCACCAACCACCUGCCUUCGUAGAGGCCUCCACUGUGUGGGGGUGGGGCAGGGAACAGGCUUUACCUGGCACAUGACUUGCAGUAGAUCCCCCUCCCUCCAAGACACAUAUGCAGCCCAAGUCAGACUAUGUCUCUUACAUGAUGCGGAGGAGGCCUCCCGGUCAGCCUCCCCCUCCCACCUCCCAGAGGAGAAAAAAGAAGCCAGAUGAAAGUUAUUCCAGUUUGUGGUACGAUAUGCUAAGAUCCGGGCUGUAUGAGAUUCCAUAAGGUGCAAUCGGGUCAUACCAAUAGCAGCAGCCAUAACAAUGCUCACCGAGGUGCUCACGGUGAGACAGCAGUGAUGAUCACUCCUGUUUUAUAGAUGAGAAAACAGGGGUUUGGAGAGGGUGAGUACUUGGUAUUGAGGUUUUCUCAAGAAAAGAGGCACUUGGCUUGGCUUGAAGGAUG
This 1277-nucleotide long non-coding RNA is filed under the name Oryctolagus cuniculus (rabbit). RNAcentral's name for it is "lncRNA (ENSOCUG00000030609.1)". Lineage: Eukaryota; Metazoa; Chordata; Mammalia; Lagomorpha; Leporidae. The record is from RNAcentral.